RNAcentral lists this ribosomal RNA (253 nucleotides) under uncultured bacterium. RNAcentral's name for it is "partial 16S ribosomal RNA". It matches the Rfam family "Bacterial small subunit ribosomal RNA", at positions 524 to 776 of the family's 1533-position model. The record is from RNAcentral.
UACGGGGGGGGCAAGCGUUGUUCGGAAUUACUGGGCGUAAAGGGCUCGUAGGCGGCCUACUAAGUCGGAUGUGAAAUCCCCAGGCUUAACCUGGGAACUGCAUCCGAUACUGGAUGGCUUGAAUUCGGGAGAGGGAUGCAGAAUUCCAGGUGUAGCGGUGAAAUGCGUAGAUAUCUGGAGGAAUACCGGUGGCGAAGGCGGCAUCCUGGACCGACAUUGACGCUGAGGAGCGAAAGCUAGGGGAGCAAACGGG